RNAcentral lists this ribosomal RNA (302 nucleotides) under Vibrio cholerae. RNAcentral describes it as "partial 16S ribosomal RNA". It matches the Rfam family "Bacterial small subunit ribosomal RNA", at positions 1237 to 1533 of the family's 1533-position model. The record is from RNAcentral. Lineage: Bacteria; Pseudomonadati; Pseudomonadota; Gammaproteobacteria; Vibrionales; Vibrionaceae.
AUACAGAGGGCAGCGAUACCGCGAGGUGGAGCGAAUCUCACAAAGUACGUCGUAGUCCGGAUUGGAGUCUGCAACUCGACUCCAUGAAGUCGGAAUCGCUAGUAAUCGCAAAUCAGAAUGUUGCGGUGAAUACGUUCCCGGGCCUUGUACACACCGCCCGUCACACCAUGGGAGUGGGCUGCAAAAGAAGCAGGUAGUUUAACCUUCGGGAGGACGCUUGCCACUUUGUGGUUCAUGACUGGGGUGAAGUCGUAACAAGGUAGCGCUAGGGGAACCUGGCGCUGGAUCACCUCCUUACACGA